Herpailurus yagouaroundi (jaguarundi) is the source of this 283-nucleotide long non-coding RNA. RefSeq lists it as uncharacterized. NCBI's taxonomy places the organism in Eukaryota, Metazoa, Chordata, Mammalia, Carnivora, Felidae. The transcript is spliced from 3 exons. The record is from RefSeq and is a predicted model, not a curated record.
GCUCUCCUACUACCCUUGCCCUCUUUUUCUGUUAAACUCUUAGGUCACAGUGGUCCUCUCUGACCUCUCCCUUUCACAGCACCAUGUCCCCUCCCUUUGCAGAGCUGGUCUCAAUGCACCCAAUUCCCACUCAUUAGCUGAUUGCCACCACAGUCUGUGCUGGGCAGAGUAAUUCACCCCAGGGCACCCCAGGCAUGGUGACUCAGGUACUGUUUGGGAGCAGCCCAUCACCUUUGAGAAUUUCUCUGAGAGAAAGACUGAACACAAGCAGGGGAGAGGCAGA